Molecule: ribosomal RNA, 253 nt
Filed under: uncultured bacterium
Lineage: Bacteria
Description: partial 16S ribosomal RNA
Rfam family: Bacterial small subunit ribosomal RNA
Source: RNAcentral
UACGGGGGGGGCAAGCGUUGUUCGGAAUUACUGGGCGUAAAGGGCUCGUAGGUGGCCAACUAAGUCAGACGUGAAAUCCCCAGGCUUAACCUGGGAACUGCGUCUGAUACUGGAUGGCUUGAAUUCGGGAGAGGGAUGCAGAAUUCCAGGUGUAGCGGUGAAAUGCGUAGAUAUCUGGAGGAAUACCGGUGGCGAAGGCGGCAUCCUGGACCGAGAUUGACACUGAUGAGCGAAAGCGAGGGGAGCAAACGGG